RNAcentral lists this ribosomal RNA (443 nucleotides) under uncultured bacterium. RNAcentral's name for it is "partial 16S ribosomal RNA". It matches the Rfam family "Bacterial small subunit ribosomal RNA", at positions 338 to 795 of the family's 1533-position model. The record is from RNAcentral.
CCUACGGGUGGCAGCAGUGGGGAAUAUUGGGCAAUGGGCGCAAGCCUGACCCAGCAACGCCGCGUGAAGGAAGAAGGCUCUCGGGUUGUAAACUUCUUUUAGCAGGGAAGAAGCAAGUGACGGUACCUGAUGAAUAAGCCACGGCUAACUACGUGCCAGCAGCCGCUGUAAUACGUAGGGGGCAAGCGUUAUCCGGAUUUACUGGUUGUAAAGGGCGUGUAGGCGGGACAGCAAGUCAGAGGUGAAAACCAUGGGCUCAACCUGGGGACUGCAUUUGAUACUGUUUUUCUUGAGUACUGGAGAGGCAGGUGGAAUUCCUAGUGUAGCGGUGAAAUGCGUAGAUAUUAGGAGGAACACCAGUGGCGAAGGCGGUCUGCUGGACAGCAACUGACGCUGAGGCGCGAAAGCGUGGGGAGCAAACAGGAUUAGAUACCCUAGUAGUC